AUGAAGGCGAUGAUGCUCAAAGGAAAGGCGCACAUGGCGGAGGAAACAGCUUUGGAGGUCUGGGGCCAUGGAAUUUCUUUCAGAGAGGAGUUAAAGGAGUGCCUUAGCAACAAUCAAAGAAAUGGUCUUACCUACCCAACCCCAGAACAGCCCCAAGCACUUUGUAAUAAUAAUAGUGUGAGUUCAUCUCCAGAUGCUGGAAGAAAUUGUGAUUGCUUAUCUCAGCGUGUUUCAGGCAUCCCAACCAUUGAUGAGCUGGAAGAAAGUUUGCAAAAACUGAACGUCCAAGUGAAUAGCUUGGCCUCCAGUCUGGGUUUCCACCCAGAUCAAGAACACACUUCCAGUCCGGACAAUUCGGUUGAUCCAGCUCCUUUCAGUUAUAGGUGGCCAGUGACUCCUGCUGGAAUUUAUGAAGCAUCGUGCGCUGGAGGGCCCCCGAAGCCCGCAGCAGAGACAGAAUGGUUCAUGAAGCCGAAGCAUCUCCUCAGACCUAUAGGAGAUUACUCGGCCCUGUCUAGCUUGGGUCUUCCAACGUUUGCCACAUCCCGGAUCAACCGGGUGACAGGGCUCCUUGGAAGCGAGAUUGCAGGCCGGCAUUGGGGGCCUUCGGAAGACCUCUCUUUUCCACUGAAACUUGGGGCUCCUCAUGUGAUUGGGGUCAAGUCCUUGCUGCCCCCUAAGAUACCGGUCCGAGGUUCACUGCCAGGAAGAACUUCUUUCCCCUCCACCAGAGGCCGUUCGGUGAGCCUCGAACGUUCAGGGGCGGCCCGUUCACGUUCGCUCUCUCCGGCUGCCAAACACAACCCUGCGCUCCGAUCCCGCUCGCAGUCCCCACGGCCUGUCUGGAGACCCAGCUCAGCGAAACCAAAUGCCUGCGCCCAGCCACCGCCUCGGAUGGCAGCCCUGAGGGGUUUGAGAAAGAAGAACGGAACAAGCCAAGUGAUGCAUUCCAGGAUAUUCCGGCCAGGGCUGUUAUCUGCUAGAUCCUCGAAGCCUGGGAAAACAAUCAGAAGAGCAACGCUGAGUCCUUACAGUUUGCCUUCGCCUGCCAUCAGUUCACCAACAGCUCAAGAGAUCAAUGAACGCUUCCUGCAGACUCUUUCUGAAAGCACCGUUCGAAGAGCUGUGGUUGACAUGUCCCCUUACCAACGAGAACUGGCUCGCCUCCGGCUAGAGCAGCUACGAGUGGAAGAGGCCUGGCUCCUGGAGCUGAAAAGGCAGCAGGAACUGGAACGCACCCGGGGACCCAAACCUAAAUGGUAUGAGAUGAGGACCUCUCAGUUCCACUACGAAGCCCACAAAAAUAAUGAACUUUUGAGAAACAGCCAAGAGAUCCAGACCAUUUCUAAUUACAGGCAGCAGCUAGCCACCGCCUCCAAAGAGUUCCAACAGGAGCCUAUUCUGACUUACCUCGAGUCCAGCGCAUAAGGAGGGAUAUUUUGUGGUCCCUGCAACUCUCUGGUGAGGAUCUGUUUGUAAGAGCUGGCAGAGGGGACAAUCGGAGAGCAUGGGUGACUGAGAGAGAUGCCACUUUUGGGAGUGUGUGCUGGCGCUGUAACCUAGCUACAGCUAAAUUUUUUGAGUGUGAGUCUGUACAGCUCUUUGUAGAAACUGGUAUAAAAUGGGAGGCAGAGUAGACCUAGCACUGAAUGUGAACAAAUUAUGCUGUUAUAGCCAUCUCUGGCUACCAGACCCAUUUGUAGAGGAAAAGGAGAAAUGGUAGAAUAAUUCAUCAAGAAGUCUUUACCCACUGGGAAUGUUUUAUUAAAUUAAACAUUAGGUUAAUUUGUUCACAUGGCAUCUGGCACCUUCUGCAUGACUCCCUUGACCUCCACUGGCUCCACCUCCUUGACCUCCACCUCCUUGACCUCCACCUCCUUGACCCUUUGUGCACCAUCUCCUUGAUCGCCUCACCUGUGAACACCCAAUCUAGAAGCCCACCAGCCACCACUGAAUGUUAUAGAAUUGCUCCAGUAACAUUGCAGAUAGGGUUGAUUGUGCCAGGGAAGCUACAAGAUGCUGGAUGUGCCAUUAAACAUUUGCAGCUUACUAUCCAAGUACAGACUGAGUCAAAUUUGGAAAUCCAUUCGCUGUCCCAUCUCUUUCAAGAUUCCAUCCGCUGAAGUGAACAAUCUUUGUCUUACCUAAUGGUUUAUUUUGUCCUCUAUUCUCCACCAGAGUCACUGGUCAGUGGGCUAGUGCAUUAUUACUGCUUCAGUACCUUUCUCAAAUGUAGAAUCUGCUUCUUCCUCUGCCCUGUCACUCUCAGUAAUUAACCACUUUUGAUGGUCCCUCCCGUUCCACAGACAUCAAACGCUAGAUUCAAGGCCUUAUCAUCCCGCCAAAUUAUGUUCCCCUUGCAGAAUCCCCCAGGAAGAAUCUCCCAACCCAAAUGGAUGAUUUCUCCUCUGUUUUAUUCACAAUCUUCCAAAGGAUGCAUUAGAGUAUGAAGGGAGGCAGUUGCUAUCACAUUAGUAAAACUGUACACAGAAGAGUUGGGUAAAAAGCGAAGCUGGCGUAGAACAAUUCAGGACGGACUACUAUGGGCAUUUUGACGUGGGAAAGACGCAAGCCAUUGACUGCAACACGUUCUCACUAAACACAGUAGCCCUUGUUAUUUACUAGUUUGUUACUCGUGAGUUUUGCAUGCAGGGGAGGGAGCAUCUGGAAUACUCCAUUGAUACCAACAAGCAAAAAAUAUAAGGGAACCUGGACAUUCGCUAAUUAGAACGUUGCCUUUUUCAGGUAAAGCGGGCAUGAAAAUGGCACUGUGCCCCAUUGUUUGUGAAUUUUUAGAAUCCAACAGGGUAGGGGGGUUCUUAAAGCAUAGCUUGCAAUCCGUAAUGGUGGUGAUGGUGCCAACAAAACCCCACAGCCAUCCUUCUCCAUUAUUCUUUUAUAUGGAAAGGGAGCUUCAAAGCCAGGGGGUACGGUCCACCUUUCUGCUGCAGUUUCUUUUUCUUUUUUUCCCAGAGGCCCAUUCUACCCUAGCUAUACCUCAUUGGCAAGGUGCACAUCAGUCUUAGCUGAUUAGGGUUUAGCAGAAUUGUGCAGAGACAAUUAGCUGCUAGGGAGAAAUAAAAUGCUCAACAGGAGAAGGUAGCCA
Molecule: long non-coding RNA, 3106 nt
Filed under: Salvator merianae (Argentine black and white tegu)
Lineage: Eukaryota; Metazoa; Chordata; Lepidosauria; Squamata; Teiidae
Description: lncRNA (ENSSMRG00000009092.1)
Source: RNAcentral